UACAGAGACUGCAAGCGUUAUUCGGAUUCACUGGGCGUAAAGGGUGCGCAGGCGGCGAUCUACGUCUGGGGUGAAAGCCCGGAGCUCAACUCCGGGACUGCCUUGGAUACGGGAUCGCUUGAGGAUUGGAGAGGCAAGGGGAAUUCCACGUGUAGCGGUGAAAUGCGUAGAUAUGUGGAGGAACACCUGUGGCGAAGGCGCCUUGCUGGCCAAUUUCUGACGCUGAGGCGCGAAAGCGUGGGGAGCAAACAGG
RNAcentral lists this ribosomal RNA (253 nucleotides) under uncultured bacterium. RNAcentral describes it as "partial 16S ribosomal RNA". It matches the Rfam family "Bacterial small subunit ribosomal RNA", at positions 524 to 776 of the family's 1533-position model. The record is from RNAcentral.